GAGGAGGCGAGCUGGUAGGGGAGCCGUGAAUCUGGAGGAUGAACAUCACUCUACAAACAAGGAUUGUAAGUUUGUAUUAACCAAACAAACCGGGAAUAAAGGGCUUAAAAAUAAGACCAACUACAUGUUCGUUACCAGACUGUGGGGCCAGACUCGCUCUGUUUGUUCCAGACCAGAACUCUGGCUGAGGAGAGCUGAUGGAGGAGCCAAGACUCUGGAGGACGACAUCGCUCCACCAACCAGGAUCCUCACCAGGAAUCUGGAGGACUGAUGGAGAAGCCGUACAUCUGGAAGGAAUAGCCUGAGGAUCACCAGCACUCUACCAUCAAGGAUUCCUCAUAAGUUUGCAUUAUCUGGACAUGGUGGACUAGACGCACCUGAGCUGAACCUCACCUGAUCCUGUUUGGUCGGGGGUAGUCACACCUG
Long non-coding RNA from Gadus morhua (Atlantic cod), 426 nucleotides. RefSeq lists it as uncharacterized. NCBI's taxonomy places the organism in Eukaryota, Metazoa, Chordata, Actinopteri, Gadiformes, Gadidae. The transcript has 3 exons. The record is from RefSeq and is a predicted model, not a curated record.